Long non-coding RNA from Neopsephotus bourkii (Bourke's parrot), 1026 nucleotides. RefSeq lists it as uncharacterized. The record is from RefSeq and is a predicted model, not a curated record. NCBI's taxonomy places the organism in Eukaryota, Metazoa, Chordata, Aves, Psittaciformes, Psittacidae. The transcript has 2 exons.
UUGUUUCUCAAACUCAUGCACCAGUUACUUGCACCAGAAAUGCAAGCAGUAAUUACACCUGGAUCUCCAGUGUCCAAACAGUUACCUUCCUGUCUCUUUUUGCCUACCAGACUCUAGAUGAAAGCCAGCAGCAAUAGACAAGGAUGUGUGCGGUGGUGUGGCAGAAAGGAGGGAGAGAAAACAGGCUGAAGUGUUUAAUGUGAAAAAUGGUUAUAGUUCAGCCCAGGUAGCGGGAGUUUGAGCUUGGUGUGAUGCCUUACUGUGCGUGUGAAGCGCUGUCAGGCAGAUGAUGAGACGUGUGUCAUAGGACCACUAAAUUCACCUGCUACCUGCCAAGCAGACGUUUGCUCUGGGAAGGAAGCAAAAAUCAGGAGAGUAUUUUUAGCUCUGAAGUACUUUUCUUGAAUGACAUUUAGUCCUCACCAGCCUUUGAUGAGCACAGAAAUAAUCCCUCAAGGGAGCAACUGAAGGUGCCUGGAUCGGCUGCCGGCAGCUCCCACUGUGGCUGUGGGAGCACCAGGGCAGCUCACGGUGCAACAGUCUCCCACAGAUACCAACUAACACAGGUGCUGGGUGAGCAUGAAAUGCAGGUGGGGUGUUAGGGAGCUGGGGUACAGGAAUGUGUCUGGGCAUGAAUGAAAAUUACUCUUGAGCCUGUUUCCUCAUAGAGACCCAGUCCUACAUUGCACGGCAUGGAGCUGAGAACCACAAGCCCAUUGCUCGCCAGGAGUCAGCCCUGUUCCCAUGCUCAGGUGGGAGAACCCAUCUUGCAAACUGGUGAAUUACGAGCCCAGUGCUGCUAGGUGAUGGUUCCAGAAAUAGAAAGGUACAGUGAUAGCAGACAACGCUCCCUGAUAGCUGAAAUUAAAAGAAUUAAAUUGUACAAAAGUGUGCUUUAAUUGCUAACUCUCUCCUGUCUGCUUAAAUCACUAGAAAUAAAGGUCUCCUCUUUAGUGAUGAGCAAUUCCAGGCAGAACAGACAUGAUGGGGGAAACAUGUUUGGAAUAAAUACUGAUGUGAAUGACA